Chrysoperla carnea is the source of this 501-nucleotide long non-coding RNA. RefSeq lists it as uncharacterized. The record is from RefSeq and is a predicted model, not a curated record. The transcript has 3 exons. NCBI's taxonomy places the organism in Eukaryota, Metazoa, Arthropoda, Insecta, Neuroptera, Chrysopidae.
UAUUUCUAACUACGAAGAGUUUUCAUCACUACGAAUUUCGUUUUGCUUCACUUUAAAUUGAAUGUGACAUUGCCUGCGUAUUUUAAUUCGCUGUUUUACUAACUAUCGUUUUUGAUCUCUUGAACGAUUUUACACAAAGACAAUAAAAGUUGAAAAGGACUUUCAAAUACAAAGUUGUUGAAUUUGUAAAUAAGAAUUACGUCCUUAAUUUGCUCGAAGCAAUUUAAAUAUACCGAAUAAGCUUGGCACAAAAAAAAAAAAAAAAUAAUAAUAAUAGAAAUGUUAGAAAAAUACUUUUCUUAUAGUUACAAAUAAUAGAGCACAACAAAAUGAGCCUGAGGUCGCUGAGUGAGUGUCCGUACUGCCAAAUUGCCUUUACCUAGUUGCCCUAACCCAGAAAAAUUGAAAAAUUCCCUAUAUAUAUUAUCUCUGAAACAAGUGUUAGCAGAUAUUCCAGAAAAACAUAUAAACAUAAAAUUAUGGAUUUCAACUUGGCUUAUU